RNAcentral lists this ribosomal RNA (253 nucleotides) under uncultured bacterium. RNAcentral's name for it is "partial 16S ribosomal RNA". It matches the Rfam family "Bacterial small subunit ribosomal RNA", at positions 524 to 776 of the family's 1533-position model. The record is from RNAcentral.
UACGAAGGGGGCUAGCGUUGUUCGGAAUUACUGGGCGUAAAGCGUGCGCAGGCGGUUAUGCAAGACAGAGGUGAAAUCCCCGGGCUCAACCUGGGAACUGCCUUUGUGACUGCAUGGCUAGAGUACGGUAGAGGGGGAUGGAAUUCCGCGUGUAGCAGUGAAAUGCGUAGAUAUGCGGAGGAACACCGAUGGCGAAGGCAAUCCCCUGGACCUGUACUGACGCUCAUGCACGAAAGCGUGGGGAGCAAACAGG